RNAcentral lists this small nuclear RNA (107 nucleotides) under Vulpes vulpes (red fox). The record is from RNAcentral. Lineage: Eukaryota; Metazoa; Chordata; Mammalia; Carnivora; Canidae.
AUCCUCACUUCGGCAGCACAUACACUAAAAUUGGAAAGAUACAGAGAAGAUUAGCAUGGCCCCUGCACAAGGAUGGCAUGCAAAUUUCUGAAGUGUUCCAUAUUAAA